Molecule: small nucleolar RNA, 210 nt
Filed under: Propithecus coquereli (Coquerel's sifaka)
Lineage: Eukaryota; Metazoa; Chordata; Mammalia; Primates; Indriidae
Description: Small nucleolar RNA U3 (ENSPCOG00000012285.1)
Rfam family: Small nucleolar RNA U3
About the family: Small nucleolar RNAs (snoRNAs) are involved in the processing and modification of rRNA in the nucleolus. There are two main classes of snoRNAs: the box C/D class, and the box H/ACA class. U3 snoRNA is a member of the box C/D class.
Source: Rfam by way of RNAcentral
AAGAAUGUAUUUUCUGGGACAAUUUCUAUAGUUCGUUACUAGUGGAAUUUCUCUAAACAUGCAGAGCAUGGAAACCGCAAGCAGGAGGCGCAGCGCCCUCUCCUGAGCGUGAAGCUGGCUUUGGCGUUGCUGCGCCGCCACUGCCGUUUACCAAUGAGGAUCUUCUCUUCCCUGGGGAGAGUAAGAGAGACAGGAUGCAGUCUGAGUGGU